CCUACGGGGGGCAGCAGUGAGGAAUAUUGGUCAAUGGACGAGAGUCUGAACCAGCCAAGUAGCGUGAAGGAUGACUGCCCUAUGGGUUGUAAACUUCUUUUAUAUGGGAAUAAAAUGUUCCACGUGUGGGAUUUUGUAUGUACCAUAUGAAUAAGGAUCGGCUAACUCCGUGCCAGCAGCCGCGGUAAUACGGAGGAUCCGAGCGUUAUCCGGAUUUAUUGGGUUUAAAGGGAGCGUAGGUGGAUUGUUAAGUCAGUUGUGAAAGUUUGCGGCUCAACCGUAAAAUUGCAGUUGAAACUGGCAGUCUUGAGUACAGUAGAGGUGGGCGGAAUUCGUGGUGUAGCGGUGAAAUGCUUAGAUAUCACGAAGAACUCCGAUUGCGAAGGCAGUUCACUGGACUGCAACUGACACAGAGGCUCGAAAGUGUGGGUAUCAAACAGGAUUAGAUACCCCUGUAGUC
Molecule: ribosomal RNA, 460 nt
Filed under: uncultured bacterium
Lineage: Bacteria
Description: partial 16S ribosomal RNA
Rfam family: Bacterial small subunit ribosomal RNA
Source: RNAcentral